RNAcentral lists this ribosomal RNA (497 nucleotides) under uncultured bacterium. RNAcentral's name for it is "partial 16S ribosomal RNA". It matches the Rfam family "Bacterial small subunit ribosomal RNA", at positions 28 to 507 of the family's 1533-position model. The record is from RNAcentral.
GAUGAACGCUGGCGGCGUGCCUAAUACAUGCAAGUCGAGCGAACAGAUGAGGAGCUUGCUCCUCUGACGUUAGCGGCGGACGGGUGAGUAACACGUGGAUAACCUACCUAUAAGACUGGGAUAACUUCGGGAAACCGGAGCUAAUACCGGAUAAUAUAUUGAACCGCAUGGUUCAAUAGUGAAAGACGGUUUUGCUGUCACUUAUAGAUGGAUCCGCGCCGCAUUAGCUAGUUGGUAAGGUAACGGCUUACCAAGGCAACGAUGCGUAGCCGACCUGAGAGGGUGAGCGGCCACACUGGAACUGAGACACGGUCCAGACUCCUACGGGAGGCAGCAGUAGGGAAUCUUCCGCAAUGGGCGAAAGCUUGACGGAGCAACGCCGCGUGAGUGAUGAAGGUCUUCGGAUCGUAAAACUCUGUUAUUAGGGAAGAACAAAUGUGUAAGUAACUAUGCACGUCUUGACGGUACCUAAUCAGAAAGCCACGGCUAACUACGUG